GUCUAUGGCCAUACCACUCUCAGUGUGCCUGAUCUUGUUUGAUCUCGGAAGCUAAGCAGGAUUGGGCCUGGUUAGUACUUGGAUGGGAGACCAUGGCAUGGCUUGGCUCUGACU
This is a ribosomal RNA of Ochotona princeps (American pika), 114 nucleotides long. The record is from Ensembl. NCBI's taxonomy places the organism in Eukaryota, Metazoa, Chordata, Mammalia, Lagomorpha, Ochotonidae.